Molecule: ribosomal RNA, 763 nt
Filed under: Corynebacterium pseudotuberculosis
Lineage: Bacteria; Bacillati; Actinomycetota; Actinomycetes; Mycobacteriales; Corynebacteriaceae
Description: bacterial SSU rRNA
Rfam family: Bacterial small subunit ribosomal RNA
Source: RNAcentral
GCACUUUUGUGUGUGUGGUGGAAAGUUUUUUCGGUACGAGAUGAGCCCGCGGCCUAUCAGCUUGUUGGUGGGGUAAUGGCCUACCAAGGCGUCGACGGGUAGCCGGCCUGAGAGGGUGGACGGCCACAUUGGGACUGAGAUACGGCCCAGACUCCUACGGGAGGCAGCAGUGGGGAAUAUUGCACAAUGGGCGCAAGCCUGAUGCAGCGACGCCGCGUGAGGGAUGACGGCCUUCGGGUUGUAAACCUCUUUCGACAGGGACGAAGCUUUUUGUGACGGUACCUGUAUAAGAAGCACCGGCUAACUACGUGCCAGCAGCCGCGGUAAUACGUAGGGUGCGAGCGUUGUCCGGAAUUACUGGGCGUAAAGAGCUCGUAGGUGGUUUGUCGCGUCGUCUGUGAAAUUCCGGGGCUUAACUCCGGGCGUGCAGGCGAUACGGGCAUAACUUGAGUGCUGUAGGGGAGACUGGAAUUCCUGGUGUAGCGGUGGAAUGCGCAGAUAUCAGGAGGAACACCGAUGGCGAAGGCAGGUCUCUGGGCAGUAACUGACGCUGAGGAGCGAAAGCAUGGGGAGCGAACAGGAUUAGAUACCCUGGUAGUCCAUGCCGUAAACGGUGGGCGCUAGGUGUGAGGGUCUUCCACGACUUUCGUGCCGUAGCUAACGCAUUAAGCGCCCCGCCUGGGGAGUACGGCCGCAAGGCUAAAACUCAAAGGAAUUGACGGGGGCCCGCACAAGCGGCGGAGCAUGUGGAUUAAUUCGAUGC